Chelonia mydas (Green sea turtle) is the source of this 10228-nucleotide long non-coding RNA. RefSeq lists it as uncharacterized. Lineage: Eukaryota; Metazoa; Chordata; Testudines; Cheloniidae. The record is from RefSeq and is a predicted model, not a curated record. The transcript has 2 exons.
GGAAGUAGUGGACCAUUGCUAUUGGGAGUCGUUGCUAAACUAGCCUCCAGGGAAAGGAACUGAGGCAACUGCAGGGGAAGAGGGUUAAUGGGGAUCUUGAGGUAGAAAGUGAAACUAAAUUGACAUAGGAAGGGAAUUGUGGAAACAUUGCUCGUCUGGAGGACAAGGGCUCUUAUCUGAAAUUGGAAAGGAAUAUAGACUAGUGUUCAGAGGAAAGGUUGGGAGUCUGGACUCUUGGGUUCUAUUCUUGGAUCUGGCAGAAACUUAUUUUCAUCUUGAGCAUGUCCCUUACCAUCAUGAUGCCACACUUCGCCUAUCUGUAAAAUGGAUAUAUUACUUACCUAUCUGCCUUCAUGUUUGUCAACAACUUCGAUCUAAAGGACUCUGUAAAUACUUCAAGGAUUUGGGAGCUCUGGUCUGUAAAGAAUAAGCAUCAGUGGUUUCUUGCCUGCACUUAGUACUAGGCUACAGUUUGUUUGAAAAUGCUGUGUAUCUAUGUUCUUGGCAGCCUUAAAUCAGGGAAAAUGUAUUUGGGACAAAUGGCUCUUUGGGAUAGCUUUUGGAAUGUAACUGAUCAUAUGUAGCUUGUGAUUUUUCUGUGCUUGCGCUUUCUCUCUCUCUCUCUGUUUGGAGAGCAUAAACACAUGCUAAAAUAUUUGAUGGAGUUGAAUAUGUAGAUUUUCAACACCCACUCCUUUUGUCAGUUUUGUAGAACACUUCCCUCCCCUCCCUCCCCCCACUGCAAGUAUUAAUCCUUUCUAAGUCAGUUCUGUGUAACAUUGUUUACAUCUUGCAGUGAGCCCCACGUGUUCAAGGGGAGUGGCAGAAGAGACAUGACAAGGCUAUUGCUCAUUGCAGUGCUGUGUGCAAAAUAUGAGCCCCUGAGUGAUGCACUUCUGCAGCAUUCCUUUCACUGCUCUGCUUGGAUUUCAGUUUAAUUCUAUUAAUCUAAAAUCUACCUUAAAUUUAGGCAUAAAACCCAUGUUUUUUCUCUUUCGGUAAAACAGUAACUAGAUCUUUAAAUACAUUUUGCCUUUAUAUUUUUGACAAUGUAUUUGAUGUGUAUUUGUAGAAGAAAGUGGUUGAGCUUUGUGUUUCUUUUUCCCCCAGUGUUUUUCCUUUUCCCUUUCCCCUUUCCCCUGGCAUCAGCGCCACAGCACUGGAAAGAGAAUGUGUAGUGGUGAAAAACUAGCAAUUUCUCUUGUCUUCCCUUUCCCCCCAAUCAUACUGUGUGCGUGUGCGUGUGUGUGUGCUUUAACAUAAAAUACAGAGAAUUGUAUUUCUAUGUGGCAGUCUGGUAUUCCAGUACUACUUUGGGGCCUAUACAGAUGUUAUAAAUAAAUUUGAAUGUCAGCAUAAUCAGAGCUAAACAUAUCUUUCUAGCGUUGAGUCCAUGUUUAGAUAUAACAGAUUUUUGAAACUAAGAAAUCUAAAUUUUGUGUUGGGCCUUCUCUUUCUGGAUAUAAUUUGCAUUAUUUACCUGUCUUUGCAGCUCAUAUUAGUAUUGCAGUUCAUAGAUUUACCAGUGUGCCCCCGUAUAUUUGUUGGUAAAUCCCCAGAGGUAUGUGAAAUGCAUAGAUUGCCACCUUAUUCCAUGAGAACAACACAGAAAGCAGAAUGCAGUGACUUUUUUUGUAUUUAAUUAGAGCACUGAAAACCAGAGGCAAUUUUUGCCAGACAGGAAAGAAUUUCUUUACCUUUAAAUAUUCACUUAAAUCUUAAUUUAUUCUUAGAGUAGCCAGUAGUAAGAAUUUAUACAAAUUAUAUUAAUUUGCAUAAUUAUUUUUAAAGAGACAACUCAAUGGAACACAUUUUGGUUCGAAAUUUUGAACGGGCUUUUGUUCAGAAAAUUGCGUAGUAUUCUGUAAACUGUCCAGUUCUUUACUACAUUAUUAUGAGAUGGCCUUUAGUUGGACCUUUCUUUGUCUUGCUGAAGGAUGUUUCAGCUACUGAAGGAGUUAAAACACACAGACUCCAGAAAUAUUUUAUCGAGUUAACCCCCACAUGCCUUUCAUGUCCUAACUUGUGUGAAGACAUGUAGGGAGACUUUUCCCAUUGCAAACUCUGUAACCGGGUAAUAAAUGGCAACUUAAAAAUGUAAUUCCUGGUGACUGUAGACAGAAUACAGAGAUCACUUAAGCUUUCACGCUGAUUUAGCUUUUUACAGAAGAUUCUGAGAGAUUAAAGAUCUUCUAGGCUGACUGUGUUUAGUGCAGAAGAGUUUCUUAAAAUACCCAUCAAGAGCCUAUAGCAUACAGCCCAUGACUUCAGCUCCUGGAAUUAUGUGAUGACAUCAGACUCAACUUUCAUUUGAAGAAGAAAAAAAAAAUCUAUAGCUCUUAUGGUUGUAAGCAGAAGCUUGUUAACAUGAACUAAGUGCAACGGAUCUAGUGAUGUUUGCACACAGCCUGAGAGAGUAACUGGGAUAUGUGACAUGCUACAUGCAUCUCAGUAUGGUGUUAACUCUCAGAUGCACUUUGUGGGAGGCCAGACCAACACCGCCAUGGAACUGUAGGACUUGUAUAUGGCAGGAGAAAAGUGCAGCAGGCCCAGUCAACCCAUCUCAAGCAGGUACAUGCCAUAUUCUGGGCUAAAUAUGGGGUUGUGGCUGCCACCUCUACCUCUCCGGGGGAAGAGGGGACUCCUGCCUUUACAGAGGGUAUAGGGGACUCCUGAUGAGAGAAGGGAGCCCUGUGCUUCUGCCUCUCUAGAAGUGGGGUCCCUGCCACCACCACUUUUAGUGGGGUGUGGCAAAGCCAUGGGGAGCUCUGUGUCAUGUUGUGCCUAGAGCCCUGGAUUGCCUUAAUUCACCCUGUCCCAUUUCUGUGUCAAAUAGAUAUAAUCUGGAGUCUGCCUCUUGGAGUAAAAGCAUGCGUGUUGGGCCAAUUUCUGACCUCAGAUAUGUAUGCGUCUCACAUUCAAGUCAUUUGAUGUUAUAUGCUUGUGUCCAAGGGCAAAAUUUGGCCCUAAGAACAUAGAUUAGUAUGUAUUGGUCACAUUCAGCAAUCAGUUUAUACAGAUUUUUUUCAAAUAUUUCCUACUGAGAAUAACAGUUAAGCAGGUUAGUAGCAUACGGUAGCUGUAAACAACUGGUUUGACAGCCUUUCAGCAAAAACUCAGACACUGAUGCUUCAGUGGUUGCAACUGGGUUUUGUUGCCUAUGCUGCAAAAAAUGGAGGAGGAAAGUGUGUUUCCUUCAUAUGUAAGGCACAAACUUAGAAAGGUUUUGUGUUUUCAGGCAAAAUAUUGCACCAUAGACACAAGAAAAAAGCUUUGCUGUUGGUUCAUCUUGUCUUCCUGAUCAAGCAAAGUUGAAAAUUAAGAGGUGGCCCAAGCUAAUUCAGUGACUGGCUUGUCGGGUACUGUACUGGCAUGGUUAGAAUUUUUCUUUUCUGUGAUUGAUUGGAGUUGCUACCUUUUAUUUUUAAUCACUUACAUUUUUGUAGUACCUCUUACCCAGAAGAAUCUCAGAGCUCUUUACAAACUUAAACUGUUAUAGAAACUGUACAUUGAGGGUCAUGACAGCCAUCUCUGAGGUGUAAUAUUAUACCAUACAACAAUACAUAAUAGUUUAAGACAGGAAGUAGAGAGUGCCACAUCAUUUUAAACUGUAGAGGAACUUUAGGGAGGGAAAUGUAAUUGCCCAAGUUGAAAUUUGGCUAGGACAUCUGGAUCAACAUGCUACGCUUAUGAAAUGUACCAUGAAAUCUUUAAUUACCCCAAGUGAAUAGGGCUUUUGUUUAAUAUGUUGUCCAAAAAGUCUGCCUUAGCAGCACAGUGCCCCGAGCCAUGUUGGAGUAUUGUUUUUGCACUUUUCAAAAAGGAGUACCAUCUACUGAAUCACUGACAGCCUUUAUUUCAGCAUCUAGGUGUUCCUCAGUUGUCUCCCAUCCAAACAUAGAUUUAGCCCAACUCUGGUUCGCUUGUGUUUUAGUCAGUUGCCCCUCCCCUCCUUUUUUCUCCUAUCUUUUUUCUGCUGCAGUUGUAGAAAGGCUAGGCUGAAGAAAUAAGUCAUGCAUUUUAUUCUGAAGGCAGUGAGAGUUGUGGUCAUUCUUUUAAAAAAAAUUUUUUUUUUUUUUUUCAAGAAAAAUACUAAAAUAAAAGCAUCUCUGGAAAAAAGUUCUGUAAUUUUGGGCCAGUUGCUGAGAAAGCUCUGCCCUUAGUUUUCAGAUAUAUUAUGCUUGAGGUUGACAGUUUCUUUGAAGUGUAGCUGUUGAUAGAGAUCGUGGUCGCUUAGCAAGUGGUGCUUCUGUAGGUAACUUGGUCCAUUGCUAUGGAGGACCUUAAAGAUGAGGACUGCUGUCCUGUAGCUCGAUGCCUUACGAUAGUGGUUCUCAAUCUAUUUCCAUUGUGGGCCGUAUAUGCAGCUAUCUGUGUGUUAAGUGGGCUGUAUCCACACAAUAUAUAUAUUACCUGUAUGGCCCUGAGGAUGUUACAUGGGCCGCAGCUGUGUGCUGAUUGCACUGUGGGUUAAGAACCACUGCCUUACGAUAAAGCAAUCUGAGUGGAGCACAAGAGCGAUGUGCGUUUCCAUGGCUAAUAUCCCUCAGGUGGCCUGGUAUUUGAGCUGCAGCACUCAUUUCUGAGUAAGUAAAUUGCAGUAAUCCAGUCUGGGAGCCACAAAGGGGUGGAUUGCUAUAGCCAGAAUUUUUUCUGACAACAGGGUACUGCUAUCUUCUUGGUGAAAGAUGAUUUCAGCAGCUGUAGUUAUUUGAAUGUCGAGAAACAGGGAUGAAUCCAGAAGAACUUUGAGGCUGUGGACUGAGUUGCCUAUUUGUGUCCAUGCUUGCUCAAGAAUGGGAAGGUGUAUAGUAGCUAGCUCUUCAGAAUAUUUAAGACUUCCCACUUCUGAUUGUUGAAUUUAGUUUCCACCAGCUGCUUUUCUUCCAUUUGGUGAUCUCAAACAGCGAUGGGAAUAGUUGGGUGAUGGGGCUAACUAUGUCAAUGAGUAAAAGACCUGGGUGUCAUCUAUGUACUGAUGUUUAAGUCAUGAUUUUCCCAAAUAAGGUUAAUUAAGUUGUUGAAUAGAUUGGGUACUAAUGUACAGGUCUGACGGACUCUGUAGGCGAGCACUCUGAUAAGGGAGGAUAAGUUGUCCAUCACAACCCUCCAAGUGUGAUCUGUAAGAAGGGAUUACUUAUAACUCACUGUUUUCCUAGUAACCCCAUAUACCUCUUCAGGGUGGGUUAGUAGUACACUGUGGUGCACAGUGACAAGGAACUCAAAGAUCUAAUAAUAUAAGCAUAGACACCCUCUUCUGUCAUGGGACAAAAGAUCAUCCAUAAGCAUGACUAAUGCCACUUCUGUUUCAUGUCCUGGCCUGAAACAUGGUUGGAAUGGGUCCAGGAUCUUGGCAGUGGGAGGGUAUAUCAAAGAUGGCUUUUUGCCCCCCCCCCCUUUUUUUUUUUUUUUUUCCAAUUUAGUUUUCUCAGUUGGAUACUGGAUGAUAACUUGCAAUGUUCAUAAGGAUCAGUGUUUGCUUCCUUGUUCAGUUUAGGGGAUGUGGUAAGUUCCAUUUUCAUAGGGGUGGGUAGUUGUCAGGAGGAGACUUGGACAAACCUAAGGCCUGGUCUACACGGGGCGGGGGGGAGGGGGAAUCAAUCUAAAAUAUGCAACUUCAGCUACAAGAAUAGCGUAGCUGAAGUCGACGUAUCUUAGAUCAACUUAGAAUCACUUACUUUGCGUUCUUGUGGCAUGGGAUCGACGGCUGCCGCUCCCCCAUCGACUCUGCUUCCGCCUCUCGCCGUGGUGGAGUUCCGGAGUUGACGGCAGAGUGAUUGGGGAUUGAUUUAUCGCGUCUACGUUAGACACGAUAAAUCGAUCCCCAAUAGAUUGAUCACUACCCGCCGAUCCGGCGGGUAGUGUAGACGUGGCCUGAGGGUCUUUUACUAACCAAGAAGUGUCUGGGUCAGAUUUGCAUGGCUUCAGGACAUUUCUUGUUACCCAAAUAAACUUAUACAUGAACUUUAUAAAUUACCUAGUUUAAGGCACUGGUAAUAUAAGGGAACAUAAGUCUAUUUAUUCAUGGAGCUGAUAGAGCAGAAAAUCUGUAUUGGAAAGGUUUCACUCUGUGUGGGAGCUCAGCUCUGAUUCAGCCCUCCUUUGGUCUGAAAACUUAGACCUUGACUACACAGGAACGUUUUUAUAUAACUUUAUUUUUUCAGUAUAAACUGCCUUGUGUCCACACACACACGUUUUUUUUUCUUGUGUCUUAACCUGCUUUAAGUAAUCUGCUUAGGAAGUGACAUAACUCUAUCCCAGAAUGAGGUAUUAUUGGUAUAACAUUUGUGUGACUGCAACCCUGUUUUGGAUUAAUUAUACUGCUUCUAGCAGUCCUCCAAUUGCUAUCCCACACUACAUUGUUUCACACCUGGAAUGGCCUGUUUGUUUACCUGUGGACCUCUACAGCUCUGGGGUCAUCUUGACUGGAUGUUACCUUUUUCUAUUUAAAUAUUGGCAUGCAGCCAGGUGUGCCUCUUUGUAAUUCCAGCUCAUGGCAAGUUAACAAACCGAGUCACAUACCCAUUAUAGCAGCCAUGCUUCUGGAUGAUCCCAUCAGGAGGCCCUGGACUUUCUUGACUUUUGGGGAGAGGAGCACAUCCAUGUCCAUCUGAGCAGCAAUCACCAGAAUGCCAAGAUCUACUAGAGGCUGCCAGAACAAAUGCAGGAAAAAGCGGUUCUAUGGGGGCGCAGCCCAGUGCUGUGUCAAAGCAAAGAAGCCUCCGACAAAGCUACAAGAAUGCAAUGGACUAAAACAGGACUGCUUGUAAUGCUCCCAAUAGUUGCCUGUACGAAGAGGAGCUGGACUGGAUUUUUGCCAAGGAGAACACCUCUGGAGUUUUGGACAGUUUGGAGUUGAUCACGGAAGGCAUCCAAGCGACCAGAAGGAGAUUCUCCCAGACAGCCAGGGUCUCUUUGGCACACCCAACCCUGAGCCAGAGGCCCAGGCACCAAAGAUGCCACCUGAAUCUCAAAUGGGGCCCCAGCCUGAAACUGUUGAGGAAUGGAGUUGUGCCAUGCCUGAAAUGCUCUGGCCCUCACAGACAGGGAUCUUAUCAGCUGCUGAAUGCCUGGCAUACCUCUGAAGGAAGUGAAAGAGGGCAAGGAAGGACAGGUUCACUGACCUCAUGACUGCAUUCUAUCAGAGGGCCAUAAAAGCAGAAGAGGGGAGGGAAGGUUUCCUGUAGCAGUCUUGGAGGCUCUGAACAAACUGCAUGGACAAGGACGUUCAAGAGGAGGGAUGCUGGACCUAAAGGAGAGGCAAACAGCUCUGCUGGAGAACAUUGUGUUGCUAUGUUCACAGCCACCAGCCCAGCCUAGCCUGGUCCUGAUCACUGAGGAGAACACAGGAUACUGGGGAGCUCCUUUUCACUUCUCCAAAUGACAGGGCCUUCCCACACCAUUCCAUCCCAGAACAGCGAACAGUUCCUACUCUUCUACCUUUUGCUUUUUUGUGGGCCCUUAAGCACAAACUUGUGUGCACCUGGCACUCUCGUCAUGGUUCUGCCACAGUUCCACUGGUUUUAAGUUUGUAGUAUAAUGAUGAAUCAAUAAAGGUUUUUAAUAUGUAAAACUCCACUGAAAAAUGUAAUUGAGGUAUUGCUUCUCCCUAAUAAUAUCUUUACACAAACACCUUUCAUUCAUUUUCUUGGUUACAGUACACUACUUUUCCACCAGUACACUCUGGCCUGAAAGUUGGACCAAAACACACCCUUUACCCUGUUUCCCUGACUAGUUGGAGCACCUUGUGGAAAGGCAGCCUUUUUGGCUGUUCAUAAUGUACAGAAAUCUCUCCACCUCGUUCUCCCACCCACUGGUGAGGAUCUCUUGCUUGCUUUCUCAGAUGAUGAGCAAAACAGACCAAAAAGCACUUAUCUCAAUAGGCAAAGAUUGUUCAGAAACAUCCAGCCUUGGUAUGAGGCACCUCUACCUUCCCUUCAGUCUUUCAAAUGCACCUUCCACUGUCAUUCAGCAGCUCCUCAAAUAUAGUCAACAACUUCUGUCUCCUGUCCGAGUGUCCGCUAUAAGGCUUCAUGAGUCAGGGAACUAGAGAGUUAGCUGCAUCUCCCAAGAUGACAGGAGGAAUCACAGCACCAUUAAUGUCUGUAGACCUGGGAGAGAAAAUUCCCUUUUUCAGGGCAGAGGUUUUAAAUAGCCUGGCAUCAUGGAUCUUUCCAAACCAUCCCACAUUAAUAUCAGUAAACCUUGCACAAGGAUCAACCAGGGCUUGCACCAUGGAGAAAUACCCCUUUCUGUUGACAAAUUCUGAGGCCUGGUGUGGGGGGGCAAAGAAUGUGGGUCAGGGUGGUUAAAAAUUGAUGAUUUUUAAAAAAUAAAUACAGAUUUUUGUAUUUAAAUUGGAAUUUUUCUUUUUAAAAAUAAACUGUUUAAAAAUAAAUUUGAAAUUAUGUCAAUCUAUGUUAAGGCCUAAGCUGCUUAUUUAUUAAAAUUAUUUAAAUAGUGUGUGAACCCUCCUCAAAUUUGAAUGACUUGAAGGGUACAGUUAUAUACAGAAUUAGGGGGGAAAACAUCUUUAACUUUUGAAGUCAACUCAUGCUUUAUAAAUACUUCACAAUGUCAUGUACUGCAUUAAGUAUUUGUUAUUUUCAGUCUUACAGUGGAGCAAAUGCUGGUAUUUAUAUUUUUCCAAAUGUGUAAGUAUUUUCAGUUUUUGUUGUGCAGGAAAGCUUUUGCCUUAGUUACUUUUGGAUUCAAUUUAGCAAGCAGAUUCAGAAUAAAUUAACUAGUCCAAAUGAAGAAAAUAUUCUAAGUUCAGAAACAGGAAGUUUGAAAAAGCUAGAAAGCUUAUUUUCCUCUUUAAAUCUAUGAAUAAAAAACAGGUGGGAGAGGAGGGGAUGGGAUCUACUAAUUCAGAAAACUUGAAGGACCUAGACAAGCUUUUCAAGGUUAUUUAGGCACUUAAAGAUGCAAGUAGGUGCCUUGUGGUGAUCUUCAAAAAUGCCUACACCAAUUAGGUGCCUAACUCCCAUUGACUUCAAUCCGUCAAUUCACUAACUGCAGUUAUGACUUCUUUUGUUUAAUAAAUCUUUUAGUUUUAAAUGCAAAACGUGUUUUGAUAAACUUACUUUUUUUGCUUAUGUAUCCAGCACAUUUAAGGAAGCUUUAUUUAACUAGUAAAAUACAGUUUUAAAAUGUUCUUUUUGUACAUUUUUAAUUGAAUUCUAUUUUCCAUCCAAAUGCAGCUUGACACAGUUUCCAAAUUUUAAAAAAAAUCUAAUAAAUGUCAUUAAUCACUUUCUUGCAUAAUAAAAAAAAAAAGUAAAAAUUAAGACUCUGAAUAAAUGUAUUUCAGGCUAUAUAACUGCUUAAAUAAAUGUAUAGCUAUAGUGGUGCACUAAAUUUGGUACCUUUUUGUUAAUGGCUAUAUUUGGUUGCAAAUGAACAUAUUUUAAUGUUUAGUAUAAACAGCCAAUGAGAAUGAACCUUUGUGUAGGAAAAUAACUAAGGUAAAAUGCCAAACAAGAUGAAGAUCAAUUAUUUAAGUCAAGGUUUCCUGUUUGCUGAGUUAAAUCAUAAGUAAAAUCAGUGAUUUAAAUCACUGUGAUUGAAAUCAGUCCACCCUGGCAUGGGUCCUGUCAAUGGCCCCAAUAUAACUUGGGAAUUCCAACCAUGCCAAUCCAUUAAUAAACUUCUGUGCGCUGGCAAGCCUCAUGACCCCGGGGUAGCAGCACACUCUCAAUAGCAUGACGACAGUCUUGACAGUUGGGUCUAGCAACACCAAGCUGGUAAGCUACUGAGCAGCAGCAAUUGGGGGUGGCAAGCUUCAAGAUGGCAGUGUCCAUGUGCUUCUCCUUGAUGAGGUGAACUCUCAUGUUGGUGUUCUUUUAUUGUGCCUGUGUACUGAGCUCUGCACAGAUCUUAGGGAAAGUAACUGCCUGCGUCCUGACGUUGUGCCACCUUUGCUGGUCAUCCCAGUUCUGCAGCACUGUCCUGUCCCACUAGUCAGUGCUGGAAGGCCACACCCAGAAAUGGUAUUUUAUCAAGUGAAGCUGUUCCAGGAAAACGCCCUGCCAAAGUAUCAGCUCAAUUUUUUCAUCCUUCUCCUCAUCUAGCCAUCUCACUGUGUCUGUCUCCCAACCCAUCCAAAGCCGUUCAGUAGUAUGAAUGAUGAAACAUUUGGUGGAGCAGUUUGUUUCUGUUAAUGAUUCUCAGGAUUGCGGUAUUCAGUAGUGUUUCCUCGACUGCAGUUUGAAAAUAGUGCUGGCUU